Molecule: ribosomal RNA, 460 nt
Filed under: uncultured bacterium
Lineage: Bacteria
Description: partial 16S ribosomal RNA
Rfam family: Bacterial small subunit ribosomal RNA
Source: RNAcentral
CCUACGGGAGGCAGCAGUGAGGAAUAUUGGUCAAUGGACGCAAGUCUGAACCAGCCAAGCCGCGUGAAGGAAGACGGCCCUAUGAGUUGUAAACUGCUUUUGUACGAGGGUAAACGCAGACACGCGUAUCUGUCUGAAAGUACCGUACGAAUAAGGAUCGGCUAACUCCGUGCCAGCAGCCGCGGUAAUACGGAGGAUUCGAGCGUUAUCCGGAUUUAUUGGGUUUAAAGGGUGCGUAGGCGGUCGGAUAAGUUAGAGGUGAAAUCCCGAGGCUCAACCUCGGAAUUGCCUUUGAUACUGUUUGGCUAGAGAGUAGUUGAGGUAGGCGGAAUGUAUGGUGUAGCGGUGAAAUGCUUAGAGAUCAUACAGAACACCGAUUGCGAAGGCAGCUUACCAAGCUACUUCUGACGUUGAUGUACGAAAGUGUGGGUAGCAAACAGGAUUAGAUACCCGGGUAGUC